This 913-nucleotide ribosomal RNA is filed under the name Aspergillus ochraceus. RNAcentral's name for it is "LSU rRNA". It matches the Rfam family "Eukaryotic large subunit ribosomal RNA", at positions 38 to 964 of the family's 3401-position model. The record is from RNAcentral. Lineage: Eukaryota; Fungi; Ascomycota; Eurotiomycetes; Eurotiales; Aspergillaceae.
GCAUAUCAAUAAGCGGAGGAAAAGAAACCAACCGGGAUUGCCUCAGUAACGGCGAGUGAAGCGGCAAGAGCUCAAAUUUGAAAUCUGGCCCCCUCGGGGUCCGAGUUGUAAUUUGCAGAGGAUGCUUCGGGUGCGGCCCCCGUCUAAGUGCCCUGGAACGGGCCGUCAUAGAGGGUGAGAAUCCCGUCUGGGACGGGGUGUCCGCGUCCGUGUGAAGCUCCUUCGACGAGUCGAGUUGUUUGGGAAUGCAGCUCUAAAUGGGUGGUAAAUUUCAUCUAAAGCUAAAUACUGGCCGGAGACCGAUAGCGCACAAGUAGAGUGAUCGAAAGAUGAAAAGCACUUUGAAAAGAGAGUUAAAAAGCACGUGAAAUUGUUGAAAGGGAAGCGCUUGCGACCAGACUCGCCCGCGGGGUUCAGCCGGCAUUCGUGCCGGUGUACUUCCCCGUGGGCGGGCCAGCGUCGGUUUGGGCGGCCGGUCAAAGGCCCCCGGAAUGUAGUGCCCCUACGGGGGCACCUUAUAGCCGGGGGUGCAAUGCGGCCAGCCUGGACCGAGGAACGCGCUUCGGCACGGACGCUGGCAUAAUGGUUGCAAACGACCCGUCUUGAAACACGGACCAAGGAGUCUAACAUCUACGCGAGUGUUCGGGUGUCAAACCCGUGCGCGCAGUGAAAGCGAACGGAGGUGGGAGCCCCCUCGCGGGGCGCACCAUCGACCGAUCCUGAUGUCUUCGGAUGGAUUUGAGUAAGAGCGUAAAUGUGGGGACCCGAAAGAUGGUGAACUAUGCCUGAAUAGGGCGAAGCCAGAGGAAACUCUGGUGGAGGCUCGCAGCGGUUCUGACGUGCAAAUCGAUCGUCAAAUUUGGGUAUAGGGGCGAAAGACUAAUCGAACCAUCUGGUAGCUGGUUCCUGCCGA